UCUUCUUCCUCGAUCUGGUGCAGCAGCAAUAAUUCAAUGUCAUGGUCAUGGAGCAGCAGCCAUAUAUUUUUCUUCUUCUUAUUCUUCCCUGAGAUGACAUGAGAUGAGGCUCUGUUGGUCGGUCUUCAAUUCUUCAUGUUGCUGCUGCUACUGCUACAUGAGGACCCUCUUCAAUUCUGCAUCCGUUGCGGCCGCCGCAGCUUCCACCUCCAGAAGAGCACCUGCUCCUCGUGCGGUUACCCGGCCGCCCGCAUCCGCAAGUGUAAGCUCCCCUUCC
RNAcentral lists this ribosomal RNA (277 nucleotides) under Triticum aestivum (bread wheat). RNAcentral's name for it is "partial small subunit ribosomal RNA". Lineage: Eukaryota; Viridiplantae; Streptophyta; Magnoliopsida; Poales; Poaceae. The record is from RNAcentral.